AUGGGGAACUGCCUGCGCCCCAGCGCUGGCCUCAGUUGUACCUUCUGCGAGGCUUGUAGCCAGUCUGAGGAAUCCACCAUUCCAGAGCCUGCUGUGUUACAUCCCAGAGUGGCGGAGGUGCAGGACGUGCAGCCCGUAAAACCAAAGAGGCGCAAAGGUUUGGCUCGCCGUGUCAGGAGCUGGGUAGCCAAAAAAUGGAGACAAAAGAAAAGGUGCCCCAAUAAAAAUGAAGGUCCCGUUGAGGUCCUCCAGGACUGCGUCCAUGAAGACAUCAAGGACGAGGAGCUCCUGGCGGAGGCGUCAUGUGAGGAUCACCACCGUCCUGUUGAGGUCCUCCAGGACUGCGUCCAUGAAGACAUCGAGGACGAGGAGCCCCUGGCGGAUGCUGCACGUGAGGAUCACCACCGUCCUGUUGAGGUCCUCCAGGACUGCGUCCUUGAAGACAUCGAGGAUGAGGAGCCCCUGGAGUGGUCUGUGGGCUACUAUUACCAUUGUCCUAUUGUGGCCCUCCAGGAGUGCGUCCAUGAAGACAUUAAGGACGAGGAGCCCGUGGCGGAUGCGUCACGUGAGGAUCACCACCGUCCUGUUGAGGUCCUCCAGGACUGCGUCCUUGAAGACAUCGAGGACGAGGAGCCCCUGGAGUGGUCUGUGGGCUACUAUUACCAUUGUCCUGUUGAGGUCCCCCAGGACUGCAACCUUGAUGACACCGAGGACGAGGAGCUUCUGGUGAGAUGCAUUUGUUCAUCUUGA
This 750-nucleotide long non-coding RNA is filed under the name Callithrix jacchus (white-tufted-ear marmoset). RNAcentral's name for it is "lncRNA (ENSCJAG00000084869.1)". Lineage: Eukaryota; Metazoa; Chordata; Mammalia; Primates; Cebidae. The record is from RNAcentral.